UCAAACUGGGUACUGUCCCGCGGGCCUGGCCCAGAAGGGUUUGUUGCGGGGCGGGUAUGGGCCUAGGGAUUCAUGACCCGCAAAAAAGCGGGCCUUGCGGGACUGGGCUUGUUUGAUACCGGGUCUAAAGCGGGACGGCCCGCAUCAACCGCGGGAAGGCCCACAUGUACCGCAUCUAGAUGCUUCGUCGUUUCCGUUGCCCUUUCACCUGAAAAUGAAAAGUUUAAUAUCUACUGAAAUGACCAUUGCAGAUGUGUCGUCUCUUCUUGUUAAGGAGGAGACUGCAUUCCCUUUGAGACAAGACUCUUCACUAAUUCCAGGAGAACCCAAUAUAUCUUAUAUAGCCUCUGUUCCCUGGAGAGACUAGAGUUGAUCAAUUGGUGGAGAUCAUUAAGGCAAUAAAACGAUUGUGGUUUUUGUUUUCUUUCCUGUUAGAUUCUCAGAGUUUGUCUCUGACAUGUAGUUCUUAUAUAUUCUAUGAAUUGUCUCUGAUUUGUCUUCUUUUUUUUUGUUUGUGUUUUGAGUGCCAGCACCAUCGCCAUUUGUAGUCUAAAGUCGAUCUUUGUGUUUUAACUUAGUUAAGAAGUUGUUGUGAUCAAAGAGAACAUGUGUUGUGGCUCUUUGAUGAUUCUGUUUAUGUAUAAACAAUCAAAUUAUCUA
Long non-coding RNA from Brassica napus (rape), 660 nucleotides. RefSeq lists it as uncharacterized. Lineage: Eukaryota; Viridiplantae; Streptophyta; Magnoliopsida; Brassicales; Brassicaceae. The record is from RefSeq and is a predicted model, not a curated record. The transcript is spliced from 2 exons.